GACGAACGCUGGCGGCGUGCUUAACACAUGCAAGUCGAACGCUGAACCCGCUUCGGUGGGGGAUGAGUGGCGAACGGGUGCGUAACACGUGGGCAACCUGCCCCCGGCUCUGGGAUAACUCCAAGAAAUUGGGGCUAAUUCCGGAUGUGACCGCUGGCCGCAUGGUCUGGUGGUGGAAAGGGUUUCCGGCUGGGGAUGGGCCCGCGGCCUAUCAGCUUGUUGGUGGGGUAGUGGCCUACCAAGGCGACGACGGGUAGCCGGCCUGAGAGGGUGACCGGCCACACUGGGACUGAGACACGGCCCAGACUCCUACGGGAGGCAGCAGUGGGGAAUAUUGCGCAAUGGGCGGAAGCCUGACGCAGCGACGCCGCGUGGGGGAUGACGGCCUUCGGGUUGUAAACCUCUUUCAGCAGGGACGAAGCGCAAGUGACGGUACCUGCAGAAGAAGCACCGGCCAACUACGUG
RNAcentral lists this ribosomal RNA (465 nucleotides) under uncultured bacterium. Its description in RNAcentral is "partial 16S ribosomal RNA". It matches the Rfam family "Bacterial small subunit ribosomal RNA", at positions 28 to 507 of the family's 1533-position model. The record is from RNAcentral.